RNAcentral lists this ribosomal RNA (485 nucleotides) under Lapillicoccus sp. enrichment culture clone R_8m3. RNAcentral's name for it is "bacterial SSU rRNA". It matches the Rfam family "Bacterial small subunit ribosomal RNA", at positions 32 to 526 of the family's 1533-position model. Lineage: Bacteria; Bacillati; Actinomycetota; Actinomycetes; Micrococcales; Intrasporangiaceae. The record is from RNAcentral.
AACGCUGGCGGCGUGCUUAACACAUGCAAGUCGAACGGUGAUCUUGAGAGCUUGCUCUCGGGUGAUCAGUGGCGAACGGGUGAGUAACACGUGAGUAACCUGCCCCUGACUCUGGAAUAACUUCGGGAAACCGAUGCUAAUACCGGAUAUGACACAGAAUCGCAUGGUUUCUGUGUGGAAAGUUUUUCGGUUGGGGAUGGACUCGCGGCCUAUCAGCUUGUUGGUGAGGUAAUGGCUCACCAAGGCGACGACGGGUAGCCGGCCUGAGAGGGCGAUCGGCCACACUGGGACUGAGACACGGCCCAGACUCCUACGGGAGGCAGCAGUGGGGAAUAUUGCACAAUGGGCGAAAGCCUGAUGCAGCGACGCCGCGUGGGGGAUGAAGGCCUUCGGGUUGUAAACUCCUUUCAGUAGGGAAGAAGCGAAAGUGACGGUACCUACAGAAGAAGCACCGGCUAACUACGUGCCAGCCGCCGCGGUAAUAC